Zosterops lateralis melanops is the source of this 2204-nucleotide long non-coding RNA. Lineage: Eukaryota; Metazoa; Chordata; Aves; Passeriformes; Zosteropidae. The record is from Ensembl.
GUCAAGCUCUUCGCCAGGUCGGCCGCCAUCAACAGCUCGGCCAAGAUCAAGUUGAAGAGCAGUGAGCUGCAGACAAUCAAAACUGAGCUGACACAGAUCAAAUCCAACAUUGAUGCUCUCCUGGGCCGGCUGGAGCAGAUUGCUGAGGAACAGAAGCUGUCUACAGGUCAGUGGGGUGCGGGGGUGCCUCAGGGCUGGCCUUGGGCAUCACAACUUCCUCCAGGCUCUGGCAGGGAAGUGUCAACCCCCAGGUUCCUGGGUAGAACCACAGGCCAAAUUUACAUGCCAAAAACGCUGCAAUUAUGGAGUUGGGGGUUAAAAUUAUGAGACUUUCUUUUCUUUUGUCAUAUAAUUUGUAUUUUGCUUUUUUGUUCUACUAUCCUAUUUUACUCUGUAAUAUCCUAUCAUAUUGUAUCCUAUGUUCUAUUCUAUUCUAUUCCUUUCUAUUCCUGUUUUUUCUAUUAUUUUCUAUUCCUUUCCCAUUGCUUUCCUAUUAAUUUACUAUCCUAUUUAAUCCCAUACUAUCCUAUCCCUAUCCCUAUCCUAAUCUUAUCCCACCUUUAUCCCACCCUUAUUGCUAUCCUAUCCCAUCCCUAGCCCUAUCGCUAUCCUAACCCUAGUGCUAGCCCUAUCUUACCCUAUCCUAGCCCUAUCCUACCCCUAUCCCAUCCCAGUCCCAUCCCUACCUCUACCUCUAUCCCUAUCCCUAUCCUAUCCCUACCCCAUCCCUAUCCCUACCCCAUCCCAAUCUCAUCCCUAUCCCUAUCCCUAUCCUCACCCCUAUCCCUGUCCCUAUCCCUACCCCAUCCCUAUCCCUAUCUCUAUCCCUAUCCCUAUCACUACCCCUAUCCCAUCCCUAUCCCUAUCCUGCCCUAUCCUACCUGGUUCCCACCCUGUUGCUGGGGGCAGUAGAACCUUCCCUGCCAUCCCCAGGCUGUCGCAGGCUGCCCCUCACAGUCAGCAGCCCCCCGCAGUCGGUGCAGGAGGCGUUUCCGUCACGGUGGUUCCCGGCAGUGGGUUGGGGCAGUCUGUGCUCGCAGGGCCCCGUUCCCAUUCCCCGUUCCCGGUUCCCGUUGCUGAGGCGCUGUUCCCGCAGAGGCGCGAAAGAAGGCGGAGAGCAGCAAGAGCGAGGUGUCCCAGGAGGACACGGCCUCCGAGGCCGAGGCUGCUGCCGAGGAGCCGCUCAACGGGGACGAGGACGAGGGGCUGGCCCGGGACGAGUGCGAGGAUGAACUGGAGAACAGCCAUUACACAGACGUGGAGGAUGCCAGGCUACAGUAACCAGCUGUGAGCAACAGUGUGAGGAAAGCACGAGGCUAAACCCUGUCCUGGCACGUUGAGCAAGACAAGCUGAAUGGAAGUGCUGCUGUCAUCUCUACCUGGCAUCCAAAGGAGAAACAUGGCCCGACAUCUUCCAUCCAUCUGUAAAGCAAAGGCAAAGAAAACUCAUCCUCCCAGCAGAUCCCCACCACCCCUGCAAUGGAUUCAGAGCUCUGCAGGCAGCAGUGGAGGCAGGAGCCAGACCUGCACAACCCAGGGCCACCACAGAGACCAGGAGAGCAGGUGUGUCCCCAGGGGAGCCUGAGGUGUCCUAGAGCUGCUUGCAGGAGAGCAGAGAGCACUCAGCCCAGCCGAAUAAAUAUGUUUUUCCUGUGCGAGGUGAGAGCCAGAGCAUUUCCUGAGGGAGGAGUAGUGUCUCAGUUUGGACAGUUUGUGUUCUUGUGCUGAACAUCCUGUUGGGUCAGAGGCUGUGGAGUGAGCUGUCCUCCAGCACGGCCACCUCCUGUCACCUCUCGUGUGCCCCAUGAGCUGCUGUGUGUCCACGGUCACUUCCAGGUGGAAAGGAGUUGGUGCUGGAGCAGCUGCUGUGCUCUGGGAAGCUGCUUGGAGAGGGAAGGGGAGAGGAAGCUGCAGGAAAGCAAGUGAUCCCAAACACGAGAAAGCAAGCAAACGUCACCUUCAGUGGUUUGGUAUCAGGGCUGAGCGAGCCCCUGCAGAGUGAGGGGUGCCAACAGAUGUGGAUGAGCCCCUUUCCUUGGACCAGCUGCUCCCUGGGAGGGAUGUGGAACACCCAACUCCUGCAGCCUGGAGCCAGAGACAUCAGCCCCUUCCCUGGCUGCCCACAUCUCCUCCUGCCCCAGCCAGGACACGUCAGGAGAGUGCUGUGACCACUCCUGCCUGAGCUCCAGCGCCCGAGGCUGGGA